GAUGAACGCUGGCGGCGUGCCUAAUACAUGCAAGUCGAGCGAACGGACGAGAAGCUUGCUUCUCUGAUGUUAGCGGCGGACGGGUGAGUAACACGUGGAUAACCUACCUAUAAGACUGGGAUAACUUCGGGAAACCGGAGCUAAUACCGGAUAAUAUUUUGAACCGCAUGGUUCAAAAGUGAAAGACGGUCUUGCUGUCACUUAUAGAUGGAUCCGCGCUGCAUUAGCUGGUUGGUAAGGUAACGGCUUACCAAGGCAACGAUGCAUAGCCGACCUGAGAGGGUGAUCGGCCACACUGGAACUGAGACACGGUCCAGACUCCUACGGGAGGCAGCAGUAGGGAAUCUUCCGCAAUGGGCGAAAGCCUGACGGAGCAACGCCGCGUGAGUGAUGAAGGUCUUCGGAUCGUAAAACUCUGUUAUUAGGGAAGAACAUAUGUGUAAGUAACUGUGCACAUCUUGACGGUACCUAAUCAGAAAGCCACGGCUAACUACGUGCCAGCAGCCGCGGUAAUACGUAGGUGGCAAGCGUUAUCCGGAAUUAUUGGGCGUAAAGCGCGCGUAGGCGGUUUUUUAAGUCUGAUGUGAAAGCCCACGGCUCAACCGUGGAGGGUCAUUGGAAACUGGAAAACUUGAGUGCAGAAGAGGAAAGUGGAAUUCCAUGUGUAGCGGUGAAAUGCGCAGAGAUAUGGAGGAACACCAGUGGCGAAGGCGACUUUCUGGUCUGUAACUGACGCUGAUGUGCGAAAGCGUGGGGAUCAAACAGGAUUAGAUACCCUGGUAGUCCACGCCGUAAACGAUGAGUGCUAAGUGUUAGGGGGUUUCCGCCCCUUAGUGCUGCAGCUAACGCAUUAUGCACUCCGCCUGGGGAGUACGACCGCAAGGUUGAAACUCAAAGGAAUUGACGGGGACCCGCACAAGCGGUGGAGCAUGUGGUUUAAUUCGAAGCAACGCGAAGAACCUUACCAAAUCUUGACAUCCUUUGACAACUCUAGAGAUAGAGCCUUCCCCUUCGGGGGACAAAGUGACAGGUGGUGCAUGGUUGUCGUCAGCUCGUGUCGUGAGAUGUUGGGUUAAGUCCCGCAACGAGCGCAACCCUUAAGCUUAGUUGCCAUCAUUAAGUUGGGCACUCUAAGUUGACUGCCGGUGACAAACCGGAGGAAGGUGGGGAUGACGUCAAAUCAUCAUGCCCCUUAUGAUUUGGGCUACACACGUGCUACAAUGGACAAUACAAAGGGCAGCGAAACCGCGAGGUCAAGCAAAUCCCAUAAAGUUGUUCUCAGUUCGGAUUGUAGUCUGCAACUCGACUACAUGAAGCUGGAAUCGCUAGUAAUCGUAGAUCAGCAUGCUACGGUGAAUACGUUCCCGGGUCU
RNAcentral lists this ribosomal RNA (1372 nucleotides) under uncultured bacterium. Its description in RNAcentral is "bacterial SSU rRNA". It matches the Rfam family "Bacterial small subunit ribosomal RNA", at positions 28 to 1381 of the family's 1533-position model. The record is from RNAcentral.